RNAcentral lists this unclassified non-coding RNA (27 nucleotides) under Mus musculus (house mouse). RNAcentral's name for it is "oocyte_clustered_small_RNA14253". The record is from RNAcentral. Lineage: Eukaryota; Metazoa; Chordata; Mammalia; Rodentia; Muridae.
UUGCUGGUCGAGAGCGGGCAUGACAAU